UACUGAUGGUGAAUUACUGUAGUCUAAGGAAUCCAUAAAAUGCCAGAUAAAUAGUGGUUUUGAUGACUGUCUUUGUGACGUGUUGAAAAGGGGCUGAUCUAGCAAAUCGGACAGAUCUUUAAACAAUUGCAUUUUGAUUGGCAACCUUUGUUGUGAGGUAGGGCUGCUGACUUUGGUUAUACUUUUAAGUAUGGUCUUGAUGGGAUAAGAGGAAAGGAAACUGGUAUUGUUUGGGAAACUAGAGUACAUAUGAUGUUCGAUGCCAGUCAAGUAUAAUUUGAUGGUAUUAUGAGACAGCCUUACUUUAAGGUGGCAAAAAGUAGCGAAAGUUACCAGAGAUGAAAUGUCAAACAUGUUAUUUAAGAGAUGUUCCAUCAUGAAUCUUUAGUACAGAGAGAAAGCCCUAUCGUAUGAUCGACAGGUAUUAGUUGAUGGAG
Non-coding RNA from Pelobates cultripes (western spadefoot toad), 437 nucleotides. The record is from the annotation of a GenBank genome assembly. Lineage: Eukaryota; Metazoa; Chordata; Amphibia; Anura; Pelobatidae.